GACGAACGCUGGCGGCGUGCCUAAUACAUGCAAGUCGAACGAGAGCAACCGGUGCUUGCACUGGUCAAUCUAGUGGCGAACGGGUGAGUAACACGUGGGUAACCUGCCCAUCAGAGGGGGAUAACAUCCGGAAACGGAUGCUAAAACCGCAUAGGUCUUCGAACAGCAUGGUUUGAAGAGGAAAAGAGGCGCAAGCUUCUGCUGAUGGAUGGACCCGCGGUGCAUUAGCUAGUUGGUGAGGUAACGGCUCACCAAGGCCGUGAUGCAUAGCCGACCUGAGAGGGUGAUCGGCCACAUUGGGACUGAGACACGGCCCAAACUCCUACGGGAGGCAGCAGUAGGGAAUCUUCCGCAAUGGACGCAAGUCUGACGGAGCAACGCCGCGUGAGUGAAGAAGGUUUUCGGAUCGUAAAACUCUGUUGUUAGAGAAGAACAAGUGCUAGAGUAACUGUUAGCGCCUUGACGGUAUCUAACCAGAAAGCCACGGCUAACUACGUG
RNAcentral lists this ribosomal RNA (498 nucleotides) under uncultured bacterium. RNAcentral's name for it is "partial 16S ribosomal RNA". It matches the Rfam family "Bacterial small subunit ribosomal RNA", at positions 28 to 507 of the family's 1533-position model. The record is from RNAcentral.